UUUCAUUUGUGCCUUCUUUGAAUAUUAUUCUUGAUACUCCUUGAAAUAACUUGAAAAAGAUUCCAUCUACACUUGAUUUGAAAAAUAUCUUUGGAAUCUACAUUUAGAGAUCACUUCUGGCUCACAUCCUAAAUGUCUCAUUCUUAAAGCCAAACUUUUCAUCCUUGAUUUUGAUGAUAUCUGUUACCCCUGAAAUUGUUUCAGAUUUACUCUUUUUGAAAGAAAGGUAAAAGAACUUUAAAAGAAUGUUAAAAUUAUCAAAUUUGAUGUGAUCUCAUCAUAAUUUUGAAACUACCUUAAUUGGCUCUGAUCUAUACUCAUUAUCUUGCCCUGACAUUAUUGCCUUGAGUUACGUGAUUCAUAUGCUUGCAAUAAUUUGACAUACAUUGAAUGAAAU
RNAcentral lists this long non-coding RNA (397 nucleotides) under Phoenix dactylifera (date palm). Its description in RNAcentral is "long non-coding RNA (PDAC_LNC016274)". Lineage: Eukaryota; Viridiplantae; Streptophyta; Magnoliopsida; Arecales; Arecaceae. The record is from RNAcentral.